GCCUGUGAAAAUCACCUUUGAUGACAUUAUUUAGAAGAUGUCGUGGCCCUAAUUUUCUGAGCCGAUUGAUAACCACUUUAUCUGAUAACCGUUUAAAGUCCAUUUAUAUCGAUGGAGGAUUUAAAAUCUCUAGAUUUUAAAUCCUCGCCCAGAGUUUUCGAGAAUCGGAUUUCUUUGUUUUGUGUUGGAAUGGAAGGCUUGCUUUGUGAAUGUGAUUUGGGAAUUAGUCAAGGCUCGCUUUGUGAAUGUGAGUUGGGAAUCAGGCAAGGCUCGCUUUGUGAAUGUGAUUUGGGAAUCAGACAAGGCUCGCUUUGUGAAUGUGAUUUGGGAAUCAGCC
Molecule: non-coding RNA, 337 nt
Organism: Pelobates cultripes (western spadefoot toad)
Lineage: Eukaryota; Metazoa; Chordata; Amphibia; Anura; Pelobatidae
Source: the annotation of a GenBank genome assembly